GACGAACGCUGGCGGCGUGCUUAACACAUGCAAGUCGAGCGGAAAGACCACUUCGGUGGUACUCGAGCGGUGAACGGGUGCGUAACACGAGCGUAAUCUGCACCUCCCUUUGGGAUAGCCACCGGUAACGGUGAUUAAUACCGGAUAUGACUAUAUGUCGCAUGGCGAGUGGUGGAAAGUUGUUCGGUGAGGGAUGUGCUCGUGGCCUAUCAGCUUCAUGGUGUUGUAAUGGCUGACCAUGGGUUCGUCGGGUAGCCGGCCUGAGAGGGGGACCGGUCACACUGGGCCUGAGAGACGGCGCAGACGGCUACGGGAGGCAGCAGUGGGGAGUAUUGGACAAUGGGCGGAAGCCUGAUCCAACAACGCCGCGUGAGGGAAGACGUCCUUCGGGUUGUAAACCUCUUUCAGUGCCGACGAAGCGGAAGUGACGGUAGGUACAGAAAAAGCACCGGCUAACUACGUG
RNAcentral lists this ribosomal RNA (463 nucleotides) under uncultured bacterium. Its description in RNAcentral is "partial 16S ribosomal RNA". It matches the Rfam family "Bacterial small subunit ribosomal RNA", at positions 28 to 507 of the family's 1533-position model. The record is from RNAcentral.